This 492-nucleotide ribosomal RNA is filed under the name uncultured bacterium. RNAcentral describes it as "partial 16S ribosomal RNA". It matches the Rfam family "Bacterial small subunit ribosomal RNA", at positions 29 to 507 of the family's 1533-position model. The record is from RNAcentral.
AGUGAACGCUGGCGGUAGGCCUAACACAUGCAGGUCGAACGGCAGCACAGUAAGAGCUUGCUCUUACGGGUGGCGAGUGGCGGACGGGUGAGGAAUACAUCGGAAUCUACUUUUUCGUGGGGGAUAACGUAGGGAAACUUACGCUAAUACCGCAUACGACCUACGGGUGAAAGCAGGGGAUCUUCGGACCUUGCGCGAUUGAAUGAGCCGAUGUCGGAUUAGCUAGUUGGCGGGGUAAAGGCCCACCAAGGCGACGAUCCGUAGCUGGUCUGAGAGGAUGAUCAGCCACACUGGAACUGAGACACGGUCCAGACUCCUACGGGAGGCAGCAGUGGGGAAUAUUGGACAAUGGGCGCAAGCCUGAUCCAGCCAUACCGCGUGGGUGAAGAAGGCCUUCGGGUUGUAAAGCCCUUUUGUUGGGAAAGAAAAGCAGCAGGUUAAUACCCCGCUGUUCUGACGGUGCCCAAAGAAUAAGCACCGGCUAACUUCGUG